Molecule: ribosomal RNA, 116 nt
Filed under: Pseudobdellovibrionaceae bacterium
Lineage: Bacteria; Pseudomonadati; Bdellovibrionota; Bdellovibrionia; Bdellovibrionales; Pseudobdellovibrionaceae
Source: RNAcentral
GUUGGUGCUUAUAGCAGUGGGGGUACACCUGAUCCAUUUCGAACUCAGAAGUUAAGUCCACUAGCGGCGAUGGUAUUGCAGCGGCAACUCUGUGAGAGAGUAGCACGGUGCCAACA